GAAACAUUAUGCUGAAUGAAAGAAACCAGUCACAAAAGACCACAUAUUACACGAUCCCAUUUAUAGGAGAUGUUCAGAUAAGCAAAUCCAUGGAGACGGAAUGUUGACACUAAUGGGUCGAGGCCUUCUUUUGGUGACGAUAAAAAGGUUCUGGAAUUAGAUAGUUGUGGUGAUUGCACAAUUCUGUAGAUACGUGCUUCAAAUGGCGACCUCGAGGCUCCAAGGAGGUCUUUAUGGGUUCUUGCCUUGCUGUUCAUCCUCUGGGAUUUGAAAACUGCUCUUAGUCUCUGGACAGAGUCUACUUGUCUUGCCUGGUUUGAAUCCACGGAUCAUCUGCAGAACACAGAGACCGAGACUUAUCUCCCGACCAAUGAACAUCCGCCAAAAUCUCUCCCUAUCCACAGGCCAACAAACUUACUGCUUGGACUCUGGCUGGACUCCCCCUCUUUACGCUCCUUGUUCAUCAAGACAGCCCGCCUCAAACCCGCAACGGACUUGCCUGUAGCUUGCUACAGCAUUCAUUCACUGAACUGCAAUUCUUCUGCUAGUCCUGAAUAAACUCAAUUUCUG
Molecule: long non-coding RNA, 570 nt
Filed under: Equus caballus (horse)
Lineage: Eukaryota; Metazoa; Chordata; Mammalia; Perissodactyla; Equidae
Description: lncRNA (ENSECAG00000033781.3)
Source: RNAcentral